UCGUUCUUCGCCGAAGGAGCCAUUUACGAUCUCUUGCACAGUGGGAAUUCGAAAAGUUCGGAAAGUGAAACGUACCAACAGCUAGUUAGCAAUAUUCAGCACUGCCAAACCAUUGUAAGCUGCGUGAAUCUCCUACAAGAAAUUCUCAGUCGUGCCACCUCCGUACUCCUCUUCUGCACCACAAUCUGCAUUUGUUUCCAAGUCAUCGCCACUGCUGUUGUGUUGCAGAAGGACAUGGAUAUAGUCGAAUCUCUAAAGAUGCUGAUGGGUUCAUCACUGUACGCAUACCAGGUCGCACUCUUCUGUCUGCUCGGCCAAAGGAUCAUCAAUCAG
Schistocerca americana (American grasshopper) is the source of this 333-nucleotide long non-coding RNA. RefSeq lists it as uncharacterized. The record is from RefSeq and is a predicted model, not a curated record. Lineage: Eukaryota; Metazoa; Arthropoda; Insecta; Orthoptera; Acrididae. The transcript has 3 exons.